GUGAGGAAUAUUGGUCAAUGGGCGAGAGCCUGAACCAGCCAAGUCGCGUGAAGGAAGAAGGAUCUAUGGUUCGUAAACUUCUUUUGCAGGGGAAUAAAGUGCGGGACGUGUCCUGUUUUGUAUGUACCCUGAGAAUAAGGAUCGGCUAACUCCGUGCCAGCAGCCGCGGUAAUACGGAGGAUCCGAGCGUUAUCCGGAUUUAUUGGGUUUAAAGGGUGCGUAGGUGGUUUGAUAAGUCAGCGGUGAAAGUUUGCAGCUUAACUGUAAAAAUGCCGUUGAAACUGUCGGACUUGAGUGUAAAUGAGGUAGGCGGAAUGCGUGGUGUAGCGGUGAAAUGCAUAGAUAUCAUGCAGAACUCCGAUUGCGAAGGCAGCUUACUAAGCUACAACUGACACUGAAGCACGAAAGCGUGGGGAUCAAACAGGAUUAGAAACCCCAGUAGUCC
RNAcentral lists this ribosomal RNA (445 nucleotides) under uncultured bacterium. RNAcentral's name for it is "partial 16S ribosomal RNA". It matches the Rfam family "Bacterial small subunit ribosomal RNA", at positions 354 to 796 of the family's 1533-position model. The record is from RNAcentral.